ACUUUCAACAACGAUCUCUUGGUUCGGCAUCGAUAGAACGCAGCAAAAUGCGAUAAGUAAGUAAUGCAGAAUCAGUGAAUCAUCGAAUCUUGAACGCACAUUGCCCCGCCAGUAUCUGCGGCAUGCUGUUCGAGCGUCAUUCAACCCUCAACCCAGCUUGGUUGGGACUGCAGUCCUGCUGCACUCCCCAAAUACAUGCGUCACGUCGACUCCAUAGCGUAUAAUUUACAUAUCGUUACUGUAAUCGUCGCGCACGCCGUUAAACCCCAACUUCGAAUGUGACCUCGGAUCAGUAGAAUACCCGCUGAACUUAAGCAUCAAAAGCGAGGAAAAGAAACCAACAGGAUGCCCUAUAACGGCGAGUGAAGCGCAACACUCAAAUUGAAAUCUGCUUCGGCCGAGUAUUGUAGAGAUAUUGAUGCGUGCCUUCCGAUCCCUGAACGGACGCAUAGAGUGAAGCCCGUCUGUGAGCCAAAUCUCUGAAAUCCUCGACAGUCGAUAUUGGAAUCGCCAAUGGAGAAGUCUCAAAGCAAAACCGCCAGACCGAUACGCACAAGAAUGAUCGAAAGAUGAAAAGCACUGAAAAAAGUAAAAAACGUAAAUGUGAAAGGAACGUUAGACCAACUGCUGUUAAUCAUCGUUCUCUCCAUGCACUUUCCAGCCAGCAGCAUCAGUUUCGCCGGGAAAAGACUCGGAUGUGUCCCUCGGAGGUUAUAGCCUUGUAAUACCGGGGACGAGUUCGCGCUUCGCAAGAGCUGAAUGCAUCAACGACCGUCUGAAACACGGACCAAGAUCGUCUUCGUAUGCGAGUUCGGUGUCAAACCCUACGCGUAAUGAAAGUGAACGCAGGUGAAGCUCGGCGCAUCAUCGACCGAUCUAGUUCCGAUGAUUGAGUAAGAGAUACGGCCGACCGAAAGAAGUAACAUCCUGGGUGAACCAGAGAAACUGGGAGCUCGCAGCGUCUGACGUGCAAAUCGAUCGUCAAACAUGGCAGGGCAAAGACUAACGAACCUAUACUGGUUCCCCGAAGUCCCUCAGAAGCAGUGAACUCAGUUAUGAGUAAAGCGAAUAUAGGACUCGGGGCUAUUAGCUUCAUCCAUCUCAAACUUAAAUAUAAAAGCUCUUUCUAAUGAACGUGAGCAUCGAAGUAUCAAACUAGUGGCCAUUUGGUAAGCAAAGGCGAUGCGGAUAACGAACCGAGUAAGUGCAGAGUAGACCUCAUCAGACACACAAAAGGUUUAGUACAUCUGACAGCAGACGUGCCAUGAAGUCGAAUCCGCUAAGACGUGUAACAACUCACCUCGAAUGUACUAGCCCUGAAAAUGGAUGCGCUCAAGCGUCUCACCCAUACCUCGCCUCAGGUAGAAACGAAGCCUGAGGAGUAGGCGACGGAGUCAUGACGAAGCUAGGCUGAGCCCGGUUGAACGCUCUAGGCAGAUCUGGUGUAGAGCAAAUACUCAAUGAGAACUUGAAGACCGAAGGGGAAGUCCAUGAACACGGUUGACAGGUAGUCGAUCUAAGCUAUAGGAAGUUCCGUUUCAAAGCGCACUUGCGCCGUCUAGCGAAAGGGACCGUCAAUAUCGGCACCUGGAUGGUUGCGCGGCAACGCAACUGAACGUGAGACGACGGCGGGGCCCCAAGCAGAUUCUCUUUCUCUAACAGUCUCUCACCCUGAAAUCGUUGUCCGACUAGGUUAAUGCUGAAACCGCACCUCGCCGGUUGGUGCGCUCUCGACGUCCUUGAAAAUCACGGAAGAAAUAAUCUCACGCAGUCGUACCAUAACCGCAGCAGUCUCCAAGGAACAGCCUCUGUGAUAGAACAAGUAAUAAGGAAGUCGGCAAAUAGAUCCGUAACUUCGGAAAAGGAUGGCUCUAAGGUUGGCACGUUGGCCUUGGCGACGUCCUGGAGCAGCCGCACUAGCGGCAACCGACGGAGGCGGCCAGCACCGGUGCUGAUGCCCUUGCAGCUCGCCGUCCGCGCGUAACAACCAACUAGAACUGGACGGACAAGGGAAUCUGACUGUCUAAUAAACAUAGCAUGCGAGGCAGAAAGUGGUUGACGCAAUGAUUCUGCCCAUGCCUGAAUUCAAAGUGAAGUAUUCAACCAAGCGCGGUAAACGCGGGAUAACUAUGACUCCUAAGUACCAAUGCCUCGUCAUCUAAUAUGACGCGCAUGAAUGAUAACGAGAUCCCACUGUCCCUAUCACUAUCUAGCGAAACCACAGCCAAGGAACGGCUUGGCAGAACAGCGGGAAGAAGACCCUGUUGAGCUUGACUCUAGUUGACAUGUGAAAAACAUAGGAGGUGUAGAAUAGUGGAGCUUCGGCGCCGGUAAAUACCACUACUCUAUUUUUUUACUUUCAAUGAGCGGCUGAUUACGUCAAUCUGGUUUAAGUUCGCGGCCGACCCGGUGAAGACAUUGUCAGUGGGGUUGGCUGGGCGCACAUCUGUUAAACAUAACGCAGUCCAAGGGCCAUGGAACAAAAUCCAUAAAAAAAGGUAAAAGCCCUUAUUGAUUCAGUGUAAUACAACAUGAAGGGCUAUCAUCUAGUCCCGAAUUGAGCAGAGUGCAAAAGUACACAGAAAGCUUGGCGCAACGUAUACGACUCGUUUGAUCCUCAUCGCUCUCCUAUCGAAGCAGAAUCGGUAAGCGUUGGAUGUCCCCACUAAUAGGAACGAGCUGUUAGACCGCGUGAGACAGUUAUUAUGAACCAGCAAAUCAGCUAGACGAUAGAAGCCGCACCGCAAGCGCGAACUACAGCUAUAAGUAACGCAGAGAAAGCUGAUACAACUAGAUGACAAAAAUGGUUUACGGCGAUAGCCCGAAGGCGUGGAUCGCUAUGAACACACAGGGUCAAUCCGCAACACUGCUGAACGCCGUCAAGUCGUGUUACGAUCCGAGUAAGCCUUGAUUACCGACCCGCGACGUAGACAUGGCUCAAGCAUAUGCGUCUGCAGUGCCUCAGUAGGCAUCGACUGAGAAUCAGUCGGUCGUCUUUCACCGGUGCUGCGCUUCGUCGU
Molecule: ribosomal RNA, 3020 nt
Filed under: Fusarium culmorum
Lineage: Eukaryota; Fungi; Ascomycota; Sordariomycetes; Hypocreales; Nectriaceae
Description: eukaryotic LSU rRNA
Rfam family: Eukaryotic large subunit ribosomal RNA (bases 280-2727)
Source: RNAcentral